UACGUAGGGCGCAAGCGUUGUCCGGAAUUAUUGGGCGUAAAGAGCUCGUAGGCGGCUUGUCACGUCUGCUGUGAAAUCCCGGGGCUCAACCCCGGGCGUGCAGUGGAUACGGGCUGGCUAGAGGCAGGCAGGGGAGAACGGAAUUCCCGGUGUAGCGGUGAAAUGCGCAGAUAUCGGGAGGAACACCGGUGGCGAAGGUGGUUCUCUGGGCCUGUACUGACGCUGAGGAGCGAAAGCGUGGGGAGCGAACAGG
Molecule: ribosomal RNA, 253 nt
Filed under: uncultured bacterium
Lineage: Bacteria
Description: partial 16S ribosomal RNA
Rfam family: Bacterial small subunit ribosomal RNA
Source: RNAcentral